Molecule: long non-coding RNA, 498 nt
Organism: Zingiber officinale
Lineage: Eukaryota; Viridiplantae; Streptophyta; Magnoliopsida; Zingiberales; Zingiberaceae
Exons: 2
Source: RefSeq, a predicted model, not a curated record
UUCAGAAAGCUCCAUUGAAAAAAAUAAUAAUUAAUUUACAACUGCAGAAAACCUGAUUCAUGUUCUUGCUGUUGCACUUUUUCAUAUGGGAACCUGAUUCAUUUUAAUGGUCGAUCAAAAAUUUUCAUGGAUCCUUGGGUGAAUCAAGAGGAAGGAACAGAAGAAUCCAAAAGAUUUAGCCACAGCCAUGUGGUGGGAAGGCAUCCAUGUGCAUGAUGCAGCACGAACAAGCUUUUCAAGCUUGUUUAUGUUGAAGAAUUAAUCGCCAUGAAGAUCCUGUUCCAGUGCCCUUGCUGUUCCUGCUUCUGCUUCUUGGACAGAGACAGAGACAGAGACAGAGAAACAGAGGAGGAGGAUCGAUGAGGAGGAGAAGGAAGAUCGAAAUGAUCGAGUGAGUUGCUGGCGUUUCUUCUUCUUCCUCUUCUUCAUCUCCUCACCUCAACUCUCGCGUUCAUCUGUAAAAUGGUUGCAAAUUAAAUAAAGUUUGAAUUGUUAAGA